GGGCGUUAAGUUGCAGGGUAUAGACCCGAAACCCGGUGAUCUAGCCAUGGGCAGGUUGAAGGUUGGGUAACACUAACUGGAGGACCGAACCGACUAAUGUUGAAAAAUUAGCGGAUGACCUGUGGCUGGGGGUGAAAGGCCAAUCAAACCGGGAGAUAGCUGGUUCUCCCCGAAAGCUAUUUAGGUAGCGCCUCGUGAAUUCAUCUCCGGGGGUAGAGCACUGUUUCGGCUAGGGGGCCAUCCCGGCUUACCAACCCGAUGCAAACUGCGAAUACCGGAGAAUGUUAUCACGGGAGACACACGGCGGGUGCUAACGUCCGUCGUGAAGAGGGAAACAACCCAGACCGCCAGCUAAGGUCCCAAAGUCAUGGUUAAGUGGGAAACGAUGUGGGAAGGCCCAGACAGCCAGGAUGUUGGCUUAGAAGCAGCCAUCAUUUAAAGAAAGCGUAAUAGCUCACUGGUCGAGUCGGCCUGCGCGGAAGAUGUAACGGGGCUAAACCAUGCACCGAAGCUGCGGCAGCGAACGUAUCACCCAAGACAACUUUACGGAGUUGACGAUUGACGGAGCGAAGCGACGUCAAAGCGUUCAUUAAAGUCGAGUUGGCUUAGGGAUACGUUCGUUGGGUAGGGGAGCGUUCUGUAAGCCUGUGAAGGUGUGUCGUGAGGCAUGCUGGAGGUAUCAGAAGUGCGAAUGCUGACAUAAGUAACGAUAAAGCGGGUGAAAAGCCCGCUCGCCGGAAGACCAAGGGUUCCUGUCCAACGUUAAUCGGGGCAGGGUGAGUCGACCCCUAAGGCGAGGCCGAAAGGCGUAGUCGAUGGGAAACGGGUUAAUAUUCCCGUACUUGGUGUUACUGCGAAGGGGGGACGGAGAAGGCUAUGUUGGCCGGGCGACGGUUGUCCCGGUUUAAGCGUGUAGGUGUGUGUUCCAGGUAAAUCCGGUUCACUUUAACACUGAGGCGUGAUGACGAGGCACUACGGUGCUGAAGCAACAAAUGCCCUGCUUCCAGGAAAAGCCUCUAAGC
RNAcentral lists this ribosomal RNA (1022 nucleotides) under Salmonella enterica subsp. enterica serovar Typhimurium. Its description in RNAcentral is "partial 23S ribosomal RNA". It matches the Rfam family "Bacterial large subunit ribosomal RNA", at positions 690 to 1629 of the family's 2925-position model. Lineage: Bacteria; Pseudomonadati; Pseudomonadota; Gammaproteobacteria; Enterobacterales; Enterobacteriaceae. The record is from RNAcentral.